UCCAAAUUUCUGCUUUGCAUUUUUGCUUUCGACCAUGGGAAUGCACUACCUCGCCAAGAAUUUAUCUACCUUCAAGAGCUUCCUUCCACGGAAAGGCUCUUCUGAAAUUAAGAGCAAAGAGGUAGUCUUCCACGAACAGGAAUUAAGGUAUGUAACAGAGUAGUAUGUACCAGUUGAUAUGUUGAAGGCCAUCCAUUAAAGGUCCAUUUUGUUUGUAUCAGUUUUUUUCUUUGAGUUAAGUCCUUUGUUCAUAUUACAUGAACAAUUGAAAAUAUGAAUGUGUUCCUGAUUUUUUUCUUUAACAUGGACUAUGUAGUUUGUAUUUUAAGGUAAUCAAGACUGUUUAACAGAGCAGCAUGUUCCAGGUAUUUUUUCUUUAACUGUGCAGUUUAAGAAAAAGUUGUGGUACUUCUCCUUUUCAAGUAAAGUUUAAGAAAAAGGUGUGGUACUUCUCCUAAUCAAAUGUUAUUGUGAUAGCUUUAAAAAAAUGAAACCAGUAAAAAAACACACAAACUCUCAAAAUUCCAUUAAAGCUAACCAUAAACAUAAAACUGGAAAGGCAUGAUAAAUGAAUAUAUAAAAUAUAAUUUAAGUGCAAAGAGCACAUACCUACAGAGUGUGGGAAUGCUGUUAUAUUCACCCUGCAAGAUGCCAUUAAAAAUGUUUUCAGUGAAUGGGAAAUGGAUGAUGUUAUCAGUGAAUGUGAGUGUGAAUGUAUCAGUGAAUGUGAAAAGGUUUUAUUUGAGUGUUAAGUGACUAAACCAAAAUUAAAACUUCACUCACAUAUAUUUAGAAUCCAUUGUUGGGUAGAUUUUGUUUGAGUUCUUUUGCAGGAAUGGAUCUUUUAAGGUAGAAAAACUCACACAUCAGUUAGAGUGGGACAAACUUAUGACUUUAGUAUGCUUACAAGAAUCUCAAGAAGAUUUUUUUUUCAAGAAUGGAUCUUCUAAGGUUGAAGACCUUAAGACCAAACAAAGGCUCUCAUUUCAUAGGCUAGGUCACAAGUUCACACAGUGAAAGGACCUAUGCUCAAAUUGUCAUGUUGUCUGUGUAACAUGUACAUAGGUUAACCUUAGUGUAAAUUUGUGCACAUCCAGGAUAUGUAGUAGCAUUACAAUAGCAAUUCCUUAUUUUUGUUUGUGUAAAUCAUCGCAGGAAUGAAAUUCUAUUACAUUUAUGAUUGGUAGAUACCCUACAUAAAAUUGCUAAAGUCCCUAAUUACAUGUGUUUUUUUUAAUCUUAGGCAUAGCAUAAGCAUAUAUCAUGUGGCUAAAAUAACAAAAUGUAAGCAAAAAUUUGGAAGAUACAAUCACUUACAGUGGCUAUACUGCCCAGGAUGGUAUCUGGGAGGAUGAGUCCUUUGAAACUUAAAGGCUGAACUAUAAUAACAAGAGUUAGUUAAUCACAUUGAAAUUUGUAGAUAUUAAAAAAAAAAACAAUUUCAAGAAAAUGUAUUCUCCAUAUUGCUAAAUCUAAAUACUUAGGAUAGCAUAAUGAAAUAUAGAAUUUCAAGUCUAAGCAAAACACACACUUUAAGAUUGAACAGUCAAGCUAUUAGUCAGAAGUUGAACCUACUCCUUAUCCAAAAAUGUCAAGCAAACUGCCUAGGACUUCAGAUCAAAGAUGACUUCAGAUCAAAGAUUUGGUUGGAGUGAUUAUGCUAUUCAGUCCCCAA
Molecule: long non-coding RNA, 1675 nt
Organism: Ipomoea triloba (trilobed morning glory)
Lineage: Eukaryota; Viridiplantae; Streptophyta; Magnoliopsida; Solanales; Convolvulaceae
Exons: 3
Source: RefSeq, a predicted model, not a curated record